This is a long non-coding RNA of Bos taurus (domestic cattle), 1162 nucleotides long. Lineage: Eukaryota; Metazoa; Chordata; Mammalia; Artiodactyla; Bovidae. The record is from Ensembl.
ACCUUCGAGCCUCUUUCUUUCUGGGUCUCCUGCUGCCCCUCCGACUGCUCCUCCUCAGCUUCCUUUUCCUCCAGAGGCUCUGUCUUUACUUACCGCUCUCCCCUCUAGGUUGACUCUCUCCAUAAGUAGUCUCCUCCUUCCUGCCCUUCACCCUCACAUGGCUUAUUCUCUCCACCAGGCCCACACACUCACCUCCAGGGUGUUGGGGGCCUCACCAGGAGGCCCCACACCUGGGACGCAGAGCUAAGUGCAUGGCCCAAAGACUAUAAGACUCGUAUGUUUUUGCCUUAUUCCUAGCCCUAUCUUAUGUUCCUUCUUAGGUUUCUUUUUAAAUCUUGUUCCUUUGUACUCAUCUCAUAGUUUAUAGACCCUUUUAAGUUGCCUUUAAAUCUUUCCCCAGUAAGGCUAUGCAAAAGCAAACAAAAACUAAGAUCAACAAUAAGAGCCACAAAGACCUACAAAAAGAUCAACAAAACCAGUCUCCAUCUGGUCCCUGAUGGCCCUCACCUUCUGCUUGGUUCUCCUGAAGCUGCCUUCCUCCCCUGGGCCCUGUUUCUAUUGAUGGCACUGCCAGAUUUCUGGCACAGAAAACCGGAAGGCCCCGCUGACUCAGCUUCUCUGUCUGCACGAGCCAGUCAGUCACCAAGUCUUGGAGCUUCUCUCUCCUUUACCAGCCCCUCAUUCUCUAUCCCAUCUCAGAGACUCCGGAUCUAAUGAUUUGUUUCUUUCCGAAACAGACCUCAAUAUCUCUUCCGAAACCAUUAUUCAUUGUAGAAAAGCAAUAGAUAUUCAUUGUAGAAAAUUUUCAAAAAUGCAAGUCAACAAAAAGAAGAAUGUGAAAACCACCUAUAAUUUUAUCAACAAGAAAACACUGUAGGCAUUUGGGUAAAAAUCUUUUUCAGUUUUAUGUAAAAGAGUUUUUGUGCAUGUGUUUUUUUUAAGCUCUUCUUAGUUUCUUUCCCAGUGUAUUUUUUUGGUCUUCCUGGUUCUGGGCUCAGCUGAUGGAACCCCAGGAGCUACUGCAGCACACACAGCCACCUGUUCAUCUCAUUUUAUACCUCCUUCAUGAAGCUGUCUCCAAGAUGGCAGACUAGAAGAACAUGCACUCAUCUUCUGUGAGAAUUCCAAAAUUACAACACACUGCUGAACAACCGUUGACAGG